Molecule: unclassified non-coding RNA, 231 nt
Filed under: Hevea brasiliensis (rubber tree)
Lineage: Eukaryota; Viridiplantae; Streptophyta; Magnoliopsida; Malpighiales; Euphorbiaceae
Source: RNAcentral
GCAGGCAUCAAUUAUAUCGAUAACAAGAAAAACUUGAGUUAAGGGGCCGAAAAGGUUCAACAGAGUCGAGAUACUCAUUCCUGGUUGUAUGUGCAGUCUUGCUGCGGCUGGAUAGAAACUGAAGAAGAAGAAGUCUUCUGGCGUGGUUGCGGGGAAGUUUCAUGCAGAUUGAUGGUGUUUCCAGAAGGUGGCAAACAUCUCUUGGAAAAGAAUGUAGCGGCUGGAUAGAAA